AAACUUAUACUUCACAGGAUCAUUUCUGUAGUAUGUCUUCCUUUCUCUCUACUCAACAGUAGAAUAGAAACAAACCGCGAUGAUGAGGUAUAUGUCCUCUUCCCUGAGCGUGAGGCCGCUGGGCCCCCGCCGCGUGUUCCGAGUCGUAUGACCUGGGACCGCGCGCGCGCAGCAUCGAUGAUCGUUCCCUUCGCCCUCGCGGCGACGGGGUGGGGAAAUGGGCUGCCUGAGCGGU
RNAcentral lists this small nucleolar RNA (235 nucleotides) under Thrips palmi. RNAcentral's name for it is "small nucleolar RNA U3". It matches the Rfam family "Small nucleolar RNA U3". Rfam says of the family: Small nucleolar RNAs (snoRNAs) are involved in the processing and modification of rRNA in the nucleolus. There are two main classes of snoRNAs: the box C/D class, and the box H/ACA class. U3 snoRNA is a member of the box C/D class. The record is from Rfam by way of RNAcentral. Lineage: Eukaryota; Metazoa; Arthropoda; Insecta; Thysanoptera; Thripidae.